RNAcentral lists this ribosomal RNA (254 nucleotides) under uncultured bacterium. RNAcentral's name for it is "partial 16S ribosomal RNA". It matches the Rfam family "Bacterial small subunit ribosomal RNA", at positions 524 to 776 of the family's 1533-position model. The record is from RNAcentral.
UACAGAGGUGGCAAGCGUUGUUCGGAAUUACUGGGCGUAAAGGGCGCGUAGGCGGUCUUCUAAGUCCUGUGUGAAAUCCCUCGGCUCAACUGAGGAACUGCACGGGAUACUGGAUGACUUGAGUUCGGGAGAGGGAAGCGGAAUUCCGGGUGUAGCGGUGAAAUGCGUAGAUAUCCGGAGGGACACCGGUGGCGAAGGCGGCUUCCUGGACCGAUUACUGACGCUGAGGCGCGAAAGCUAGGGGAGCAAACGGG